UACGUAGGGUGCAAGCGUUAAUCGGAAUUACUGGGCGUAAAGCGUGCGCAGGCGGUUUUUUAAGCCAGAUGUGAAAUCCCCGGGCUUAACCUGGGAAUGGCAUUUGGGACUGCAAGGCUGGAGUACGGCAGAGGAGACUGGAAUUCCUGGUGUAGCAGUGAAAUGCGUAGAGAUCAGGAGGAAUACCGAUGGCGAAGGCAGGUCUCUGGGCUGAUACUGACGCUCAUGCACGAAAGCGUGGGGAGCAAACAGG
Molecule: ribosomal RNA, 253 nt
Filed under: uncultured bacterium
Lineage: Bacteria
Description: partial 16S ribosomal RNA
Rfam family: Bacterial small subunit ribosomal RNA
Source: RNAcentral